UGAUUUCGCAUGGUUAAGAACGUGCUGACGUCACAUAUUUUUGGGCAUAAAAUUCCCGCAUUUUUGGUAGAUCAAACCGUAAUGGGACAGCCUGGCCUGGCACCACCAGCUUGGAAUCUACCGAAUUCAGCCUCAAAAACCGGCGAAUUUCACCGGAUAAACUCGCAAUAUUUCACACCACCCGGAGUGAAUUUCGAGAUGGGCGGUUUAUUGUGGCGGGGGAGG
Non-coding RNA from Caenorhabditis elegans, 225 nucleotides. The record is from Ensembl. Lineage: Eukaryota; Metazoa; Nematoda; Chromadorea; Rhabditida; Rhabditidae.